GAUGAACGCUGGCGGCGUGCCUAAUACAUGCAAGUCGAGCGAACAGACGAGGAGCUUGCUCCUCUGACGUUAGUGGCGGACGGGUGAGUAACACGUGGAUAACCUACCUAUAAGACUGGGAUAACUUCGGGAAACCGGAGCUAAUACCGGAUAAUAUAUUGAACCGCAUGGUUCAAUAGUGAAAGACGGUUUUGCUGUCACUUAUAGAUGGAUCCGCGCCGCAUUAGCUAGUUGGUAAGGUAACGGCUUACCAAGGCAACGAUGCGUAGCCGACCUGAGAGGGUGAUCGGCCACACUGGAACUGAGACACGGUCCAGACUCCUACGGGAGGCAGCAGUAGGGAAUCUUCCGCAAUGGGCGAAAGCCUGACGGAGCAAUGCCGCGUGAGUGAUGAAGGUCUUCGGAUCGUAAAACUCUGUUAUUAGGGAAGAACAAAUGUGUAAGUAACUAUGCACGUCUUGACGGUACCUAAUCAGAAAGCCACGGCUAACUACGUG
Molecule: ribosomal RNA, 497 nt
Filed under: uncultured bacterium
Lineage: Bacteria
Description: partial 16S ribosomal RNA
Rfam family: Bacterial small subunit ribosomal RNA
Source: RNAcentral